GUCCAUGGCCAUGCCACUCUGAACAAGCCUGAUCCCAUCUGAUCUUGGAAGCUAAGCAGGGUUGGGCCUGGUUAGUACUUGGAUGGGAGACCACCUAGGAAAACCAGGUGCUGUAGGUG
This 119-nucleotide ribosomal RNA is filed under the name Pteropus alecto (black flying fox). Lineage: Eukaryota; Metazoa; Chordata; Mammalia; Chiroptera; Pteropodidae. The record is from RNAcentral.